Molecule: ribosomal RNA, 451 nt
Filed under: uncultured bacterium
Lineage: Bacteria
Description: bacterial SSU rRNA
Rfam family: Bacterial small subunit ribosomal RNA
Source: RNAcentral
CCUACGGGGGGCUGCAGUGGGGAAUUUUGCACAAUGGGGGAAACCCUGAUGCAGCAACGCCGCGUGAGUGAAGAAGGCCUUUGGGUUGUAAAGCUCUUUCGGCUGAGAAGAAGGGUCAUAUGGCUAAUAUCCAUGUGAUUUGACGGUAUCAGAAGAAGAAGCACCUGCUAACUUCGUGCCAGCAGCAGCGGUAAUACGAAGGGUGCAAGCGUUGUUCGGAAUUACUGGGCGUAAAGGGCGCGUAGGCGGGUUUGUAAGUCGAAUGUGAAAUCCCCGGGCUUAACCUGGGACGUGCAUUCGAUACUGCUAAUCUUGAAUGCUUGAGAGGGUGGUGGAAUUCCUAGUGUAGAAGUGAAAUUCGUAGAUAUUAGGAGGAACACCGGAGGCGAAGGCGGCCACCUGGCAAGACAUUGACGCUAAGGCGCGAAAGUGCGGGGAGCAAACAGGAUUA